This 66-nucleotide transfer RNA is filed under the name human gut metagenome. It matches the Rfam family "tRNA". From Rfam's summary of the family: Transfer RNA (tRNA) molecules are approximately 80 nucleotides in length. Their secondary structure includes four short double-helical elements and three loops (D, anti-codon, and T loops). The record is from RNAcentral.
ACUGUGGCUCAGCUGGUAGAGCAGCUGAUUCGUAAUCAGCAGGUCGCCGGUUCAAAUCCGGCCAGU